Molecule: ribosomal RNA, 253 nt
Filed under: uncultured bacterium
Lineage: Bacteria
Description: partial 16S ribosomal RNA
Rfam family: Bacterial small subunit ribosomal RNA
Source: RNAcentral
UACGGGGGGUGCAAGCGUUAUCCGGAUUUACUGGGUUUAAAGGGUGCGUAGGUGGGUUGGUAAGUCAGUGGUGAAAUACUUUCGCUUAACGAAGGAGCUGCCAUUGAUACUACCAGUCUUGAAUACAGUGGAGGUAGGCGGAAUGCGUCAUGUAGCGGUGAAAUGCUUAGAUAUGACGCAGAACACCAAUUGCGAAGGCAGCUUGCUACACUGUUAUUGACACUGAGGCACGAAAGCGUGGGGAUCAAACAGG